CAGGAGUAGCAUGUAACUUGUGUUGUACGCCAUGUAGCUUAUGCUUCACACUUCGAAGGGGUGAAUGCUACACUAUGCACUAUUUAAAACACUGCUCUACACAUGCAUACUUAUACCUCAAUCUGAAUUAUCUAAAUCAUGGAGCCUAGUAUAGAUGGAGCAUAACCCCAUUUUGAAUUUGGAGUGUUGACUAUUUAUCAUGUUAACCAUCCAGCCUGAUGAUUGCUAAUCAAGCUAUUAGGAAUUUAGGAUCAUCCCUUAAUUGUAAACUUUUGUACAAUGGUUCAUUCAUGCUAGGCUCCAUGGUUUGAAUGAUUGAGAUUUGUAUCCAUGUAUACCACUGUUGACAUCGAUUUCGGUUGGUAUUCAUGUUCAUGGACAUUCACAUUUAUCUCCAUAUACAUUCAUAGACAUUGCGACAUCCACACAAAAUAGGGAUCGUUCGAAAAAGAAAAAUCCACAAGAAAGAGGGAAGUGGGCAUAUAGUUGGAAGGAUUUUAUUAACCUUUUAUUAAUCUGAGUUCUUAUUAUAUUUUUAAGCUAUGGCAUAACACAAGCCCUUAAUUAAAUUACAUAGAAUAACCCUUGAUUCGAAGGCAAUAAUAAUAAAUAAAUGUGAUGAUUGCGAUGCAAAUGCAUGAUGCAUACAAUCUAAGGGUGAGCGACUGAGUGUAGCCCUCAUGCCCAGGGCAUAGCUCAAGCAGAUCACAAAACGGUUGUGAUCGAUUGAUCAGUGCUCUGUGCCGUCUCACACAAUGAGAUGAAUAGUGCAAGCACACCAUAUUGCCAAUGCUUUCUCUCUAAUAUAGAGUCUGUGAUGUCAUUGAUACAAGGUGGACUGAGGAAAGACCGUAGAACUAGUGUGGUUUUGCGUAUAUAUCUCCGAAACAGAGAGCAUUUAGCUAUUUCUAUGAUGGAGCACGCAUCAUGGCAUAGAGAAAGGCAGGCAACCCAGGUUGUUACAUAGCAAGAGGGUAGUAUGGACAAUGCAUAACACCAACAAUGUACCCAAGGUAUCAAGGCUGAGAGAGAGAGAAUCACAUAGUGGUCCAGGUACUCGUGAGAGUCAUUACGGUUUGAUCACAAUAUGAGCUGGCAUGAGCUCAAGUCAAACAAUAAAUGUUAAUCAUGCACGAUGAACUUAAUAAGGUUAGCCCUAAUAGCAUGGAGCAUUCUACCAAAAGCCCUAUAACCUGUUGGGUUGCCAUGUUGUCCCUUGUGGAGCUGAGUAGGCUGGGGCCGAUCAGUCCUGUGAAGAUGUCACAAGCUCAAUUCAGGAGGGUGCCAAUUCCAUGACAGACCCAAGAUAUACUUAAAUAUGAUGCCAAUGUACAUUAGAAUAUGAGGAUUCAGAAUCUGAUGGUGCCAUGAUAGAAGAGUGCAUAGCACCAAGCUAUGGAUGAGCAAUCAUGCAGAAGGCGCGGGUCAUGAUGUUCAACCGUAAAAUAGGUGCAAAACACAGUCAUGCAAUUCCAAGGGUAACAUUGGGUGCGGAUAGUUAGAGGUUCGUAGAGCAUAGAAAGCAAAAGUGCAGAUCAAACUUAGUCUGCAAUGGAGUCCCAUAGCCAAACAACUCACAGCCAAUUCUAGAAGACACCGGGCGCGGGCCAAUAAGUGGCCUAAAGAUGGCUUGUAGAAUAAUAGAGGGCGCAAACUAGAAUGGCAGAGGAAGGGACCCUUCUUGCACUACCCACUUUGGACAUUUGCUUGACAAAAUAUAGCCAUCCGACACCCUAGGGCCAUCCACCAGGCACAACCAACAUUGAAAUUGUUUUGGUUGCCACCUGCAGAAUAAUCCAUGAGGCACUAGAAUGGGCUAAAAUACAUUGUUGGCACCAUCUUAUCAAUUUCUUUAAAGCGCAGAGGGAAUGGCUCCAUGGGGAUUUCCCCUUUUUAUGAAGGUGUGAGCACACUUUUACCUUCAAAGGUUCAAUAUCUUUUGGGGAUUCUCAAAGAGUGCUCUCAAGAAGAGUUCGAGAAUCAAAGAGUUUACGUGUUCAAAAUGAACCAGCCUUCGAAGUAUUGGUUGUUGGUCGGGGAUACGGAAGCAAUGUGGAUAUCGCCGAUAACUGGAAAUGCCGGGAAACAUUGGGAAAACAUGGGGAAAUGGUGGAAUUUUUUAGUAAAACUUCAGGAGAUGCUAAAAUACACAUAUUGGCAUAUUUAGGAAUAAAAAUUUGAAAAACGAAUGCAUACAUAAUUAGUUUCCAUUUAAUGGGGAACUAAAAGCAUGUGUUGUUGUAAGAAAUCAGUCCAACCAUCCCAUUUAUCCAUCCAACCAUCCAACCUUCCAUCCAAACAUACAUCAAUAUUUCAUAACAUCGACAACAUAGGUCACUUCAAAUCAUCGAUAAUUGGAAAGGAAAAGAAAGAUCGUGGUCUCGAUAUCGCUCAUGUUGCGAUAAGUAUAUUAUCGUCAACAAAAUUGAACAUCGCAUAAAACCAUGCACCCGUAAAAAAAUUGAAAUGAAAAUCUUUUUAAAAAACAAAAUUUUGGCAAUAUUAUCGAAAUAUCACCAAUAUACCGGUGAUACAAGUGACACCUAAAAUUUACACAGUCGAAAACAUUGGUGAUACAUCGGUGAUAUUGAUACGUUGGCUAUACAAGCGACACCUAGAAUUUUACACAGUAAAAAAUAUUGGCGAUAUAGAUACAUUGGCGAUACAUUAUCGAUACCUUGAAUUUCUAAUACUACCAGUAUUAUUGAUAUCUCUACUAGUGUUAUCGGUAUCGCCGAGCUGGAUAAUAUCGGGGAUAUUUCAAACGAUGAAAUGAACCUUUGAAGAGGUAUUUAUAGGUGAUGCUGGAUGGUUUUGGUCAAAUAAGGGAACACUCAGGUGACAAUUGUCUCGCACUAUCAGAUUGAGCGUUCACAUGGCCUGCUCUCAUUGGUUGUCAACAACUCACUUGGGUGGGUGGCAAGUCCAUGCUGUGUCACGGGGCCUAUUGUCUCAAAGUCUCUGCGCCUUCUUCCCAAAAGGCCUCAUUCCUUCCCCGUGCCUUCCACCGUUCUGUGGGUGCAUCCGUUUGUACCUUCCACUGUUUAGGUGGCGCGGGAGCCUAACACAUUAGCUUGCACCUUCUACUAUUCAGAAGGCAUGGCCCACACUUGUAAGAUUUCUAUCCUUUUCAAUUCUUCACCUCUCUUUUUAUGCUCCAACAGCCAUGUGUGCAUUGGGUGUAUGCAUGCACAACUAUCGUCAUAUUCCAAAAGCACGUAGAAAAUCUUUUUUCAGUAUGUUCUAUUUCUGCUUUUGAGAAUGAGGAUGUUAGAUACUUUGGUAGGGUAUAGAUACCCAUAUGCAUGCACAUGUACACUGUAGGCGUGGCAUACCUCAUUUUGGCAACAUUUAGAUGCUAGAAUGGUCCAAUGCUAACCCCCAGCCCAACUAUUGCAUGCAAGCCCCAGAGGGUGAGCAAGAAAGUAGGGUCAUGGUGUAGUUAUUAGGCAUACCACAAAGUACAAAGCAUCAAAGGACCACACAUGAGGGUCAUGUUCAGUUAGUUGGCCAAUGGCAAGGGCUGCCUUGAUGCAUGAUGAUCAACACCACUUCAUGACAUCACAGUCACACCCCACGCUACACCUUAGCAUAACUAUUGCACACUACCCAUUAAACAGGAAUUUGUGAACAAAGUCCAAUGAACCCUCUAGGCAUAGAUACCACCAUUGGACAAGUCGAAAGGACAUGCUUAAGUAGUUGCCUGUAGGGAAUAAGAGGUAGCCAACUGAUAAAUAUUUUACGAAACACCACUAGCAUGCUAACACAAGCCCACACUUUACCAUUUGUGUUUUCCAGAAAGGGAAAUUUACAAACAGUUAAGCUUCUGGCAUGGAAUGCUAGACAAGCUAGCUAGGCUUGAUUGGCCAAUCUAUAGGGAAUGGGAUUUCCAAAUUUCUUUACUCCGGGGAAAUCUAACUGCAACUGACACGUGGGGAAAAAAUGACAUGCGGGAAAAUUAUCCAUGACGUGGAUGUUCAUUGAGUGGUUCCAUCAUGAUUAUCUGCAAACUUUGUGGAUUGGGUGGAUUGGACAAUCCUGUACAUGUACUGAGGAAUGUGUUUCCUUCAAUUUGUUUAUCAACAAUACUAUUGUACCAUCCAUUUUGUAGGGUCGUGAAUCUGUCAGUUAUGAUCGCCAGGUCAGUGAGAUUUUUUCCCCUAUGGUUAAUUAUGGAACCCAAGUAUGAGUGGUUCAGAUCAUGAAUCACUAUUCGAGCCACAAAUCCAGUUUUUGCAGGAAUUCAAAAUAAGGAGCCCUGUGCCUAAUGCCCUAUCAAAUCUUGUGAAGUCUCAAUUGAGUCUUUUGGUCAAAUCGAACUGGGCCUACCAUUAAUCAAGUUGGGCUUUUGGGCAUUAAACAAUGAGUUGAUGUGACGGACAUCUACCAAUCGCCACCCCAUCCUCCUGAGCAUAACAGACGUCCCAUAUACAGUGAAUGCAUAAGUUCAUAACACACGUUGUCACAAGAGGUUCUUGUAGAGAAAAAGUUUCUUGGACAUUGGUGAAUUAGCUUUUGUUAGGCCUGCAACUUGGAGAGAUGCAGAGAACCUUUGCACUCAGUUAGGGCAGUGAAUUAUGAGAAACACUGAAUCAUCAUCAUCAUUAUCAUCAUUGUUUUUUUUCUUCUUUCUUUUCAAAAGAAAUCAUCGUCAUCAUCAUCAAGCCUUAUCUGAACUAAUUGGGGUUGACUACAUGAAUCCUUUCCCGUCAUUCCAUUCUAUCAAGGGCCGUUAUUUCAGUUAGACCAUAGGUCAUCAAGUCUUUACUGACUACCUCCACCCACAUCUUUUUGGGCAUUCCCCUUGCCCUUUCAAAGACUUCAACUUGUAGGAACUCACUCCUAACUGGUGAAGUUCUUGGUCUCCGUUGCACAUGACCAGACCAUCUAAGUAUAUUUUCCCUUGUCUUUUUACCUAUUGGUGGUACUCCUGAGUUCGAAUGCAUUUAUUUCUAGUUCUAUCCUUAUGUCUUGCUGCUCAUCCAUCUCAACAUCCUCAUUUCAGCUACACUCAUCUUAUGGUCAUGUUUCUUAUUUGCCCAACAUUGUUCAGAUUCAUGUUGAAAGUUUUCACAUAAGUUUAAUGCCAGCUGCAAACCUGACGCAACCCUCCUCCUUUGUCCAGGCCGGGGACUGGCAAUGAGAGCAUAAACCUCCCUCAAACGCAAUUUAAUAGACUACUACAUAGGUUGAUUACAAUCAAGCGGGAUCUAAUAGUCUAUUACAUAUGUUGAUUACAGUCAACGAGUUGUGAGAAAUACUGAAUGGGGGUUACUAAUUGAUUAAGGCUGAUUAGUGGAGAUUGACAAUCUGUCACAAGUAAUAAGUGGAUCUUUAAUGAUAUCAAAGCCUCAAUGGAGGCACCAAGAAUCAUAGACUCCAUAAGUGGCCAAUGGAGGCACUAAGAAUCAUAGACUCCAUAAGUGGCUUCUAUCAAGGAGUUCGGUGGGAUUCCCAUUUUGGAGAGGGAGAAUUGCAAUUUGGUCCUCAGUAGGGAUCCAGUUACCAUCCAUUGAACAGAAGGUUGGAAGAAUCCACCAUGGUAAUUGCGAACCAAAGGCUCCAUAAUUAAGUGGGAUUUUACCAUACAGAUCCAUGCUAUUCCUACUUGAAAGAUGUAGAGAACUUGGAAUAAAGUCCUCGAAGGUGAUUUGGUUACUACCAUUCUUGAAGUGGUGGGAGCUUGAUUGCACCGGCUCAUUCAUUGGAAACCUGGGGUUCUUAGGAGUAGGUGGAGUUGUUUGGGGCAACAGUCGAAAGAUUUGGAUAACAUUCUCCAGUCCAGUAGGGUGGGGGGUAAGGAGAUGAAGUGGAAGCAUGAGGGGCUUAGAAUUUUCUUGGAAGAGUAAUUGGUCUAAUUUGUCUUGAACAAUGUGGUUGGACAAAGAGAAUAGACUUGGCUACUUUGAAACUUACAUUCAUAUUGAACGAACAUGAUCUAUCUUUUCGAUUAAAUAUAUCAUUUAAGCACAUAGGAAGAGAUGCCAAUGAUUCUGGUAUGCGCUCAUGUAACCAUUCUAUAAUGUAGUGAUCUUCUUAUAGGUUUGAUAAUUGAAGUUUUAAAUCUUCUCUUUGGAUUAGGAUUUUGAAUAUCCAUGUUGUAUUGGCCGACGAAGCCAUAUAAGAUCCAUAUCAGCCAGUAUGAUUCACAAUUCAGGGUUGAAACGGGUCCUCGCAAAAAGUCGGUGGGGUAUCAGCCAGUAUGAGACAUAUAGGAUACGUUAAGGCACAAGCAUAUCAAUGUCACAGUCGAUAUAACCAUAAAGCCAAUCUUUCAUUUUUCACAUUUCUGCUAUUUUUUCCUCUUUUUUUUUUUUUUUUUUUGUUCCAAGGAUGGAGGAAGCCUGGAAACUCAUUUCGACUAGAUCUAAGGCAUAUUUUGGAGAUCAAAACAAGAUUUGAGCAGGACUCAACAAAUUGAAGCAGCUGACCAGUUUUUGGAAAAUCAGGAAAGGGUGUGAACUAUCACCUUUUUCUUUUAAAUAUAUUUCAACAUAGCGGGCCCUAAUCCACCAAAACAUGUUUGAUUUGUGUUCAAUUAGGGUCUAUUUGGUUGAUUCUCCAAAAUAUCAUGUUUGUACAUUUGAUUUACGGAUCUUUCUUUAACAAAAUCUUUGUUAUCAGCUCAAAAAAUAAAAUAAAAUAAAAUAAAAUAAAUCAUUACCGUGCUUGGGAUUUUUUAUUUUCAUUAUCAAAGAUUACUGCUUUCAAAGUGGUCCAUUAUCUUGGGUAAGGGCUAUAUGUACUAUUUAUCUUUUCCAAAUAGAGAAGACGUGAUGGCAAAAAUCAAAAGAUCUUCUCUUCGAAAAGUCAUGCCGAGUCAAUAUUGUUUGCAUCCAUUUCCUGAAAACAUUGUGAGAACAGAAAUACCAUGUAAGGCCAUGUGAUAGCAGGUUGUACACAUGGGCUUAGGUGGGAUGGAAUGGCAUUUGGUCCCAUGCAAAUUCCAUCCGGCGUUUGGAGUUGACAGGAAGGAUUGAGAUUAGGUGGGAUGGAAUUGCAUUUGGUUCAAUGCAGGAUUUCGGUUGGAUUUUGAAAUCCACUACAUCUGUGGGUUCCACAUUGAUGCAUGUGUUUUAUACACGUUCUCCAUCCAUAUGCGCCCUUCACACAUGACAUUCGAGUUGUAUACGUGUACAAGUGACCAACAUUAGUUGUGAAUCUGGUUCGUUGAUUACAAUUUCAUGGUCUGCCAAACACGUGUUUUCCUUAAUACUGUGGUUUUCCAAAGGAAGAAUUUGAUCCCAAACAUGGGAUUGGAUGAUCAAAAUACCAUGGUAUUUCCAGACACACAAUCAUUGUGCAAUAAUGGUGUUAAUCCCAUCUAAUGCAAUUCCAUACUAUUUAAUCCUUGCAUUAACCUUGUACCUAUGAAUCAUCCUUUGGACUCGCGCACCUGUUCCUGCUUCUUAACAAUGCAUACUUGCUGACAGUUUGAAACAUACACUUCUCGCAUCCGGAUAUGUUGUCACUUCAUGCUUCAUGCGACCAUAAUUCUCUAGACAGUUAUGCUGUUUUAGACCUUUUUUUUUUUUUUUUGGAACAUGGUAUUUGUGCCAAUAAAAAAGGUGCUGGGACAUUAUAUAGUACAAGUGCUUCCAACAGCUAAUCUGCUUUUACGAAUAAUGCAGGUCUCAUUCUCCUGCUAUUCAGACAUUCAUUAUAAGCAAAUGGAACAAGCUAGAAUUUCUAAAUUUGAAAGGGGAACUUUUUGCAUGAAUCUAGAGAAUAGCAAAUUGAAUAUAUUUCCAUGUUGUCAUUCCAUCAUUGUGUUCUUUUGGCUACCAGAGGAUGGUUCUGUUGCAUGAUGGUGGGAAAAUGUUAAGAUAACAAAACAACUAAAAGCGGUAGAUCAAAAAAGAAAGUACCGUAGUUCUGUUAAGCAUUCAUGCACCCUACAUGCUGUGAGGCAUGAGCAUGUGCUGGACAUUCAUAUGCAUCUAGUGGGCCCUACCAUGUGGAUGGCUUGGUCCGAAAUGCCAAUCAACUUAUCAAGUGAGCCAUAUGUGCAUUUAAUGUGGAUGGAUAUAAAAACAUGAUUGAUAUUGCUGAUACUAGGAAAUAUAUCUUUUGACUGAGGAAAAGCAUUGGAGAAACACUGGGAAAGAAACUUCGGGAGAUGCUAAAGUACACACAUUUGCAUAUUUAGGAUUUUUUU
Molecule: long non-coding RNA, 8158 nt
Organism: Magnolia sinica
Lineage: Eukaryota; Viridiplantae; Streptophyta; Magnoliopsida; Magnoliales; Magnoliaceae
Exons: 2
Source: RefSeq, a predicted model, not a curated record